AUUUCCAAGACCACGCCUCUCCCAGGGAUUUUGAUAUAUUUCCCCCCUCCCCGUCCGCCCCCGUUUGCAUAGCCAUGCUCUCCUUGACAACCGCCCCUUUUCGUGCUUAGUACGUGACAGACAGUAGCACCUAUCCAAUAAAAAGGACACACUCUGUACAUUCUGCCUGUUAAAGGAAAGCAAUAAGAAUAAGAAUAAAAGCAUAAGAAUAAGACGAGGAGCAGGAGGAGGAAGAGGAUCUUAAAUAUUUGAAGGAGAAGAGAAUUAUUGCUGAGAGUUACCAGCUUCCCUGCCUCUACUCCGGACUGGGAAGUACUUAAGCCAAUUAAAAUUACAACUAGACAUUACUUACAAGCCAAUGGAACAACAGACAAAAGAAUAAAAGGUGGGGAAGAUCGGAAGUAGUAGAGACGCUGUGCAAAGGUUGGAACGAAGCAAGUGCCCAAAGGCCUGAAACAGCGCCCGUUUGAGAGCUAUUGAGAAGCAGAGAGGGAACAAGCGAGCGAGUCUGGGAAAAUGGGUCACUGCGCAGGCAGCCGCGCAACUGAAACUAAAAAGCACGAUUUGCUAUGUAUGUAGUCUAAGAAAAGGGGAUGGGAAGAUUAUCGAACAAUGAUUGAGGGAGAAGAAUGCAUGAGGAAGGAGGCAGUGACAGGUGACCUAAAAUAAUAGGUGCAUGCGGAAUAAUCAUUGAAAGAAGAAAAUUCAAAUUAAGGACAUAGCCACUAUCACUACAGUGCAAUAUCACAACCGUACCUGCUCCUGCAUAAUGUGACUGCAUGACUCCACCUGCUCCCUGUGGUUUGCCCAUUUAUAAGAAAUCCUAGUCUAGUGGCUCAUUGUGCCUUUUGACAUAGCAAGAUUGGGCAUCCAGUCACCGUGUAGCAUACUGGGCCAACUGAAGAUAAAAUCUCGUUUUAGGAAAACCCCUUUUCAUCUGCAUUUCGGCUACAGAGCUAUCCACUUAUUCAGUAUUUGCCCACUUGAGAAUCAGACCAUUCUGGUUUUUUUUUAACUCUUGUAACUGGCCCAGCAAUUAUAAUGCCCUGUUCACAAAUGUAUUUUCAGCCAUCACAUUCUAGUUCCCAAGGGAUGACAAUUUAAUUCCCAAAGCUUGUGGCAGAAGGCUACAGGUCAUCAUAACACUAGAUAAACUAAGCAUUCAAAGGUACUUCGGGUAAGCUUUGACCAAUAAUCUGUUAUACAUGCUUUUUUUCCCUAUUUUUAGCUGUGGCAGUUUAUUUGUGCAAGACUUUAUACCUAAGAACUUAUAUUUGGAGUUACAAUGCUUUUAUAGCUUUAAGCCUCUUUGGGGAAGUACAAACCAAUAAAAUUAAAAUGUGGGAAGAACUAAAA
Ahaetulla prasina is the source of this 1356-nucleotide long non-coding RNA. RefSeq lists it as uncharacterized. The transcript has 3 exons. The record is from RefSeq and is a predicted model, not a curated record. Lineage: Eukaryota; Metazoa; Chordata; Lepidosauria; Squamata; Colubridae.